AAAGGGAGCAUGGGACCUGGCUAAAAGAAUUAGCGUUAUCAUUAGUAAGCUCAUGACCUUCGUCCGGAGCCAGCAGUGGUUUUAGUGCUGUACAAAGCACAGCAGAGGCAGAGCUUCCAGGGAUGAUUGGCAGGUAGGGUGAGCAGCACGGGCGAUUCUGUGAGGACAUCAUUAGCCAAGAGUUACCACAUUAGUAGGAUGAGCUAAUGGUUUGCGUGAGCAAAACAAGGACUUUGUUGCAAGCAAGUUUGUGUCAGUGGGGAUAUGAAUAAAAAGCUGCUAACUUAGAAACUAAAGAGGUGGUAAUUUAUGGGCAGAUCUGUUGGUUUUGCUGUUGGUAGGAAGCACAGUAUUGUAUGUGAUCCUUCCUAACUGACCAGGCUUAAGAAAGCAAAUCUGUAUUCCAGCUGUCUAGAAACGUGAACCCCAAUUCUGACCUCUUUGGCUUCAAAUCAUCUUCUUCCCUGUACCAUUGCAGAGACAGCCCUGAAAAGCAGCAUGACCAGGAGGACCCAGAGUGAAACCUCCCUCUUAGCCCCACCAAGCUGUGGCAGCCCACCACAAUACAGGGAGUAAACUCUGGAAUUCCCUUCCCAUGUGGAUCCAGUAGAAAAUAAUAGUGGUGAAUUUGCAGUGCACAUGUUUCUCAUUUCCCCCAGCUGGGUUGCACCCUGCCCUCUUUGCUUCUGAAGCACUGAUGGUGAAUGCGUGUUUUUUAAUGACACAUGUUUUUAAGGUACCAUAUUGAGAUGUCAAACCAAAACUCACUCUUUUACUGGGGCUUCCCUCAGCGAGCUGCUCAGAUAACCACUGAAACACUGGUAUUACACUUCGUUGUGGACCGUGCCCCUUUGGGCAGAAUCUGUUGUGUCUUUUCAGAACUGUUUUGACCCUUCUUCACCUCUGUUUGUCCUCCCUUUGGGAUUCGGAAGUUCAGCCUUGCUGGGUUACUGCAGAGAGUAUGUGCAAGAGUCAGGAACCUGGAGAAAGAGGAGGAUGCUCUGUCGUGCAGCUAAUUCAUUUGGCACUUAGGCUUGCCUGGCCAACAAACUACCUCAGCAAAGGCCAUUCCCGAGCGCUCUGUGGAUCCUGUAGUUUAUGGCAUUCAGAAGGCAAAAGGUCUCCAGAGAACCCUGCCAACAGGGUUCUGGGCUCUGAGGGCCUCACAGUGACACACUGUUGGAUCCUUGUUGUCAAUGGUCAGACCUGGGCCAGGGAAUGCCCUAAGACCCAGGUGGGAUCAGGAGAACACCAGAGCUGCAGACAUCUUGUCUCCAGGUUAUUGCCGUCUUACUCAGAUCCUCCUUUAAGCCUCCGUCCUGUUUGUAACACCUACAGAAUGGAAUGUAAUACUUGAAAAAUAUGACUCUCUCUAUCCUUUACCUUUAGCUCCCAUUUCCCUCCAUGUUUCUCUUUUAUCUGGGACAAGAACUUUCUGCAUCAUUGUGUCUUGUAUAGGCUGAGCACAUAGUUGAAACUUGCCAAUAAA
This 1489-nucleotide long non-coding RNA is filed under the name Strigops habroptila (Kakapo). Its description in RNAcentral is "lncRNA (ENSSHBG00005004016.1)". Lineage: Eukaryota; Metazoa; Chordata; Aves; Psittaciformes; Psittacidae. The record is from RNAcentral.